Molecule: long non-coding RNA, 416 nt
Filed under: Homo sapiens (human)
Lineage: Eukaryota; Metazoa; Chordata; Mammalia; Primates; Hominidae
Description: HSALNT0356049
Source: RNAcentral
UUAAAGCACGCUUUAUUUAUGGCCGUGCCUACCCCCAAGCCUCGGGGUUGUUUUGAGCCAGCAGGGAAGGUGUACUUAAUAUAGAGCAGGAGGUCUCCUCUCUGGAAGGGCUCUUGGCUUCCUCUCCAGACAGCAUGUGUGUGCUCCCCAACACUGAGAUCUGACGUGCCCCCAGAUUCCCUGGGCUCAGAAAACAGGACACGCCGAGGACAUAGAAGCCUGGCACCAGGCGCAGAGCUUCCGCCACCAAGGAUGUUCCAGCAGAGACCACACAGCCGCGUGGCCUGGACUCGAAGCCAUCGAAGUUUUGAAUCUCUAAGUCCUUAUUUCUUGCCAGCCCAACUAUUAAUAAAUCAAAAGCUCCUUGGAGCGUUGGUUUUUAUUUUCUUCUCCCCUAGAACAGUGUGGAAGGAAUG